AGCUGCCCCGACGUGGCCACCUGAGAACCCGAGGAGGACGAAGGGGGCCGUUCGCGGCUAGGAGCCAGCACUGGCCCAUGGGACUGAGUGUGGCCAGGGUGGUGCAAGCCAUUGAGCCACAGACACACCCUACUUACCACCCAUGAAUGUCCGGUGAUGUUGUUCAUAGAUCAACUUUGUUGAGCUUUUGGUCAACAUGCUGCCAAUUAUUCUUUCCAAUAGCAUCCUCUAGGACAUGGACCACCAAGAUAACUCUGCUCCUGGGAAUUACGUUUCCGUGCUGUAGAGCCGAGAGCAGCAAGCCUUUCUGGGAAUCAACAUCGCCCAUGAAUUGCAGCUGUCUGCGUAGCUCCGGGACAAAAAUCGUCACACGCACAAAAAAGUACCCCCCUUAUCAAACACACCAUCCCUUCCUGGAGAGUCUUCUUCGCUUUUCCUCAGAGUCCCUUGUAAUGAAGACCCGGCCGGCGAGGCUCUGCGAUUACACGAUUACACGUGCAGAUGCAUGCUCGGGCUGGUUGAACACGGGAAGGAGAAAACUAAAACUAAAGCGUAGGGCCAAGUCUCUCGAGCUUCUCAGCCUGAAAAAAAGAAAAAUCUAUCAAGGCUUUUCAGAUGUCCUGCUGGGUCUAGGAAAUUUAAAACAACAGACGAACAAGCAAACAACAAACAAAUGAAUCAUUAAAGUUUUUUUUUCUGUU
RNAcentral lists this long non-coding RNA (701 nucleotides) under Rattus norvegicus (Norway rat). RNAcentral's name for it is "long non-coding RNA NONRATT013870". The record is from RNAcentral. Lineage: Eukaryota; Metazoa; Chordata; Mammalia; Rodentia; Muridae.